This is a non-coding RNA of Vicugna pacos (alpaca), 345 nucleotides long. The record is from RefSeq and is a predicted model, not a curated record. NCBI's taxonomy places the organism in Eukaryota, Metazoa, Chordata, Mammalia, Artiodactyla, Camelidae.
UGUCCCCAUGGAGCCCAGGUGGGGCUGGGAGUCUGCUGUUUGUACAACCAGUGGGCUCGUGUUGCUUAUGGCAUCCCUGUGCCUGAAUUCCUGCAGUACACUCGGUGUGCAUUCCAUGGUGCAUCCUCGCCUAGAAUUGAGUGGAAGCAAGUCCAUCUCAGAAGGGACAUAACUGAAGAGGGAUGGCUUUCCAGACUCUGAAGGGCAGAGAGAGCACCAGCCUGGAGAACAGCAUCACUGAGCCCGUCCUGGGUGACCUCACAGAGAUCACCCUAGUGGCCCAGGCUAAUGACCGGGAACAUGUACCUUCCUGCAGCCAACCCCAGACGUCCACGGAUGCAUCAU